GACGAACGCUGGCGGCGUGCUUAACACAUGCAAGUCGAACGGAAAGGCCCUGCUUUUGUGGGGUGCUCGAGUGGCGAACGGGUGAGUAACACGUGAGUAACCUGCCCUUGACUUUGGGAUAACUUCAGGAAACUGGGGCUAAUACCGGAUAGGAGCUCCUGCUGCAUGGUGGGGGUUGGAAAGUUUCGGCGGUUGGGGAUGGACUCGCGGCUUAUCAGCUUGUUGGUGGGGUAGUGGCUUACCAAGGCUUUGACGGGUAGCCGGCCUGAGAGGGUGACCGGCCACAUUGGGACUGAGAUACGGACCAGACUCCUACGGGAGUCAGCAGUGGGGAAUAUUGCACAAUGGGCGGAAGCCUGAUGCAGCAACGCCGCGUGCGGGAUGACGGCCUUCGGGUUGUAAACCGCUUUCGCCUGUGACGAAGCGUGAGUGACGGUAAUGGGUAAAGAAGCACCGGCUAACUACGUG
Molecule: ribosomal RNA, 468 nt
Filed under: uncultured bacterium
Lineage: Bacteria
Description: partial 16S ribosomal RNA
Rfam family: Bacterial small subunit ribosomal RNA
Source: RNAcentral